CCUACGGGAGGCAGCAGUGAGGAAUAUUGGUCCAUGGCCGCAGGGCUGAACCAGCCAAGUCGCGUGAGGGAUGACGGUCCUAUGGAUUGUAAACCGCUUUUGUCAGGGAGCAAAGGGCGCCACGUGUGGCGUUUUGCGAGGACCUGAAGAAAAAGCAUCGGCUUACUCCGUGCCAGCAGCCGCGGUAAUACGGAGGAUGCGAGCGUUAUCCGGAUUGAUUGGGUUUAAAGGGUGAGCAGGAGGAAUGUCAAGUCAGCGGUAAAAUUUCGGGGCUCAACCAUAGAUUUGCCGUUGAAAAUGGGAGGCUUGAGUAUGUUUGAGGCAGGCGGAAGGCGGGGUGUAGCGGUGAAAUGCUUAGAUAUCACGCAGAACCCCGAUUGCGAAGGCAGCCUGCCAAGCCAUGACUGACGCUGAUGCACGAAAGCGUGGGGAUCAAACAGGAUUAGAUACCCCAGUAGUC
RNAcentral lists this ribosomal RNA (460 nucleotides) under uncultured bacterium. Its description in RNAcentral is "partial 16S ribosomal RNA". It matches the Rfam family "Bacterial small subunit ribosomal RNA", at positions 338 to 795 of the family's 1533-position model. The record is from RNAcentral.